UUCCUAACCCAUGCAGUAAUCUGCAGAGUUGGGUUGUAGGGGAAGGUGUCCACAAAUGUUCUCAAAUUUGUGUUGUGAUGGGGUGACAGCAGAGCCAGACACCUUGCUCUGCAGCUGAAUGGAGGAACAUUAUUCAAACUGUUAUGGGCAGAGUAGAAAGAAGUGUGGUUAGCAAAGCCUGUCUCUUCUAGAAACUUGUUUCUAGGCUAUCACUGCAGUAAAUAAUCAGGAUUGUUCCCAUCUGCUUAAGAAAUAUCACUGGUCCCCACACAGGCUGACCUCCACCUCUCCAGGGAAAGAACCUGGUGCAGCACUGAAGGCUCUCCCUGACAGAAAUGCUUUGUGUGGUGGGGAGUGCAGUGUAUCCCGAAAUCUCCUGCACAGUGCUGCACAGAUCAUCUUCAAGAUGGGAUUAAUUUCCAUGAACUUUAGCAGCCUGGAAAACAGCUAUGUUGUCUAAUGUGGCCCUCCUGUCAGUGGAGAAGCUCCAUCUUCUCUUGAGGUGGCUGCACCACACAGCAACAGCACGGCUGCAAAAACAAGCAGGGGAAAGGGAGGAGUUUGGGUGAAGCUGUCAGAAGAAUUGCUGCUACUGUAGAUAGGCACUCCCCAAAAUUCAGCCAGAGACCCCAAGAGCAAGUUCUGUUUUCUUGCCAUCCCAUGGAGACCUUGUUGCCUCUAAAUGAGGAAUAUCGUUUGUGAUGGGGGCUCUUCUGUCCUUCUGGGACUCUUCCCUUUCAUGCUGACCUAAGGAAGAAUCUGUCAUUCAUUUGAGGAUCUCAGUUUCUUCAUUUAUUCAGAGAACAUCUUCACUUCAGAAUGUGAAGAGAUGAGCUUCAGAGCUGAGAGCCAAAGCCAUGAUUCUUGUUAUCACAGAGCUGGUGACAGCUGUACAGACAGGGAGCUUCCCAUGGUGGAUCCACACAUCUGCAAGUCUGAGGGAGUGAAAUUGAUGAGGGAGUCCUGGAAUUAUCAGAGGAUGGGAAAGAUGGAUGGACUUUCCUGAGCAACUCCUGGUACAGGUAAACCCAACUCAUCUCUUUCUUAGACUGCACAUGGUGAAAAAUCCUCCCAAAGCCAUGUCUGUCUGGCAAAUGCAGUGAGCAACAGUGGCCUCCCGGCACCCAGCCCCCACAUGGCAGAUGGAGCUGAGCAAGAGGCAGUUUUGUGCUGGUUUGUGUCUUUCAAGGAAAUAAUUCCUUGAAGAGGAGGGAGGGCUCUGCUCCAGGGAGAUAAGCAGUCCCAUUGAGGCAGACCUCUGGUGUUUCUUCUCUUCCCAUUUCACAAGGCAGCAUCAUGAAGGAUGGCACAAAGAGGGCUGUGGAGCAGGGUGGGAGCCCUGAGGUGGUGCUUGGAAGCCUGGCCUCAUCCAACCAUCU
Long non-coding RNA from Passer domesticus (house sparrow), 1379 nucleotides. RefSeq lists it as uncharacterized. The transcript is spliced from 7 exons. The record is from RefSeq and is a predicted model, not a curated record. Lineage: Eukaryota; Metazoa; Chordata; Aves; Passeriformes; Passeridae.